This 75-nucleotide transfer RNA is filed under the name Candidatus Zhuqueibacterota bacterium. RNAcentral describes it as "candidate division KSB1 bacterium (microbial mat metagenome) tRNA-Glu". It matches the Rfam family "tRNA". Rfam says of the family: Transfer RNA (tRNA) molecules are approximately 80 nucleotides in length. Their secondary structure includes four short double-helical elements and three loops (D, anti-codon, and T loops). Further hydrogen bonds mediate the characteristic L-shaped molecular structure. tRNAs have two regions of fundamental functional importance: the anti-codon, which is responsible for specific mRNA codon recognition, and the 3' end, to which the tRNAs corresponding amino acid is attached (by aminoacyl-tRNA synthetases). tRNAs cope with the degeneracy of the genetic code in two manners: having more than one tRNA (with a specific anti-codon) for a particular amino acid; and 'wobble' base-pairing, i.e. permitting non-standard base-pairing at the 3rd anti-codon position. Lineage: Bacteria; Pseudomonadati. The record is from RNAcentral.
GGCGCGUUCGUCUAGCGGUUAGGACGCCGGCCUCUCACGCCGGUAGCACGGGUUCGAGUCCCGUACGCGCUACCA